GAAAGAUUCAUCGGAAGAGGAUGGGCAUGCGGCGCAUUAGCUAGACGGCGGGGUAUCGGCCCACCGUGGCGACGAUGCGUAGGGGUUCUGAGAGGAAGGUCCCCCACACUGGUACUGAGACACGGACCAGACUCCUACGGGAGGCAGCAGUGAGGAAUAUUGGUCAAUGGGAGAGAUCCUGAACCAGCCAAGCCGCGUGAGGGAAGACGCCCCUAUGGGUUGUAAACCUCUUUUGUCGGAGAACAAAACCCGGGACGAGUCCCGGACUGCGUGUAUCCGAAGAAAAAGCAUCGGCUAACUCCGUGCCAGCAGCCGCGGUAAUACGGAGGAUGCGAGCGUUAUCCGGAUUUAUUGGGUUUAAAGGGUGCGUAGGCGGUCCGUUAAGUCAGCGGUAAAAUUGCGGGGCUCAACCCCGUCGAGCCGUUGAAACUGGCAGACUUGAGUUGGCGAGAAGUACGCGGAAUGCGCGGUGUAGCGGUGAAAUGCAUAGAUAUCGCGCAGAACUCCGAUUGCGAAGGCAGCGUACCGGCGCCACACUGACGCUGAGGCACGAAAGCGUGGGGAUCGAACAGGAUUAGAUACCCUGGUAGUCCACGCAGUAAACGAUGAAUGCUGGUUGUCCGGGUCGAAUGAGAUCUGGGCGGCGA
This 647-nucleotide ribosomal RNA is filed under the name uncultured bacterium. RNAcentral describes it as "bacterial SSU rRNA". It matches the Rfam family "Bacterial small subunit ribosomal RNA", at positions 202 to 849 of the family's 1533-position model. The record is from RNAcentral.